UAGGGAAUCUUUCCACAAUGGGCGAAAGCCUGAUGGAGCAACGCCGCGUGUGUGAUGAAGGGUUUCGGCUCGUAAAACACUGUUGUAAGAGAAGAAUGACAUUGAGAGUAACUGUUCAGUGUGUGACGGUAUCUUACCAGAAAGGAACGGCUAAAUACGUGCCAA
This 165-nucleotide ribosomal RNA is filed under the name uncultured bacterium. Its description in RNAcentral is "partial 16S rRNA". It matches the Rfam family "Bacterial small subunit ribosomal RNA", at positions 355 to 511 of the family's 1533-position model. The record is from RNAcentral.